RNAcentral lists this ribosomal RNA (403 nucleotides) under uncultured bacterium. RNAcentral describes it as "partial 16S ribosomal RNA". It matches the Rfam family "Bacterial small subunit ribosomal RNA", at positions 30 to 526 of the family's 1533-position model. The record is from RNAcentral.
AUUGAACGCUGGCGGCAGGCCUAACACAUGCAAGUCGAGCGAGCGGCGGACGGGUGUGUAAUUUAUGGGGGCUUCCCCAUAGCGGGGGAUAACUCCUCGAAACGCUAGAUAUUACCCCAUACUAUCUGAUAACCCCUAUGGGAUUAGCUAGUAGGUGAGGUAAUGGCUCCCCUGGGCGACGAUCCCUUGCUGGUCUGAGAGGAUGAUAAGCCACACUGGGACUGAGACACGGCCCAGACCCCUACGGAGGCAGCAGGGGGGAAUAUUGCACAAUGGGCGCAAGCCUGAUGCAGCCAUGCCGCGUGUAUGAAGAAGGCCCUAGGGUUGUAAAGUACUUUCAGUGGGGAGGCGUUACCGGCAGAAGAAGCACCGGCUAACUCCGUGCCAGCAGCCGCGGUAAUAC